GACGAACGCUGGCGGCGUGCUUAACACAUGCAAGUCGAACGGAAAGGCCCUGCUUUUGUGGGGUGCUCGAGUGGCGAACGGGUGAGUAACACGUGAGUAACCUGCCCUUGACUUUGGGAUAACUUCAGGAAACUGGGGCUAAUACCGGAUAGGAGCUCCUGCUGCAUGGUGGGGGUUGGAAAGCUUCGGCGGUUGGGGAUGGACUCGCGGCUUAUCAGCUUGUUGGUGGGGUAGUGGCUUACCAAGGCUUUGACGGGUAGCCGGCCUGAGAGGGUGACCGGCCACAUUGGGACUGAGAUACGGCCCAGACUCCUACGGGAGGCAGCAGUGGGGAAUAUUGCACAAUGGGCGGAAGCCUGAUGCAGCAACGCCGCGUGCGGGAUGACGGCCUUCGGGUUGUAAACCGCUUUCGCCUGUGACGAAGCGUGAGUGACGGUAAUGGGUAAAGAAGCACCGGCUAACUACGUGCCAGCAGCCGCGGUGAUACGUAGGGUGCGAGCGUUGUCCGGAUUUAUUGGGCGUAAAGGGCUCGUAGGUGGUUGAUCGCGUCGGAAGUGUAAUCUUGGGGCUUAACCCUGAGCGUGCUUUCGAUACGGGUUGACUUGAGGAAGGUAGGGGAGAAUGGAAUUCCUGGUGGAGCGGUGGAAUGCGCAGAUAUCAGGAGGAACACCAGUGGCGAAGGCGGUUCUCUGGGCCUUUCCUGACGCUGAGGAGCGGAAGCGUGGGGAGCGAACAGGCUUAGAUACCCUGGUAGUCCACGCUGUAAACGGUGGGUACUAGGUGUGGGGUCCAUUCCACGGGUUCCGUGCCGUAGCUAACGCUUUAAGUACCCCGCCUGGGGAGUACGGCCGCAAGGCUAAAACUCAAAGGAAUUGACGGGGCCCCGCACAAGCGGCGGAGCAUGCGGAUUAAUUCGAUGCAACGCGUAGAACCUUACCUGGGUUUGACAUGGAUCGGGAGUGCUCAGAGAUGGGUGUGCCUCUUUUGGGGUCGGUUCACAGGUGGUGCAUGGCUGUCGUCAGCUCGUGUCGUGAGAUGUUGGGUUAAGUCCCGCAACGAGCGCAACCCUUGUUCACUGUUGCCAGCACGUUAUGGUGGGGACUCAGUGGAGACCGCCGGGGUCAACUCGGAGGAAGGUGGGGAUGACGUCAAGUCAUCAUGCCCCUUAUGUCCAGGGCUUCACGCAUGCUACAAUGGCUGGUACAGAGAGUGGCGAGCCUGUGAGGGUGAGCGAAUCUCGGAAAGCCGGUCUCAGUUCGGAUUGGGGUCUGCAACUCGACCUCAUGAAGUCGGAGUCGCUAGUAAUCGCAGAUCAGCAACGCUGCGGUGAAUACGUUCCCGGG
This 1343-nucleotide ribosomal RNA is filed under the name uncultured bacterium. RNAcentral's name for it is "16S ribosomal RNA". It matches the Rfam family "Bacterial small subunit ribosomal RNA", at positions 28 to 1378 of the family's 1533-position model. The record is from RNAcentral.